This is a long non-coding RNA of Oncorhynchus kisutch (coho salmon), 1337 nucleotides long. RefSeq lists it as uncharacterized. The transcript is spliced from 6 exons. The record is from RefSeq and is a predicted model, not a curated record. NCBI's taxonomy places the organism in Eukaryota, Metazoa, Chordata, Actinopteri, Salmoniformes, Salmonidae.
UAAUUUAGACGUUUUAGUGUGGCGGAGUGGGAAGAUGGCUUUAACAGCGGAUUGGAUGCAUGUCCCCUCCAAUAUGCGGCUAACCGAGGGUCUGGUGUCUGUUCUGAAAGAGCAGCGGACCGAAUAUUUACCAGCACUUUUAGCGAAUUACCGGGAGCACGGCGUGUUCUCGACACAGAGUACUGGAGCUGUCGGUGGUCUCGUGGGACUCAGCAACGCCAAACUCGGCAACAGCAAAACCAAGUUCGAGGGGCUGUGUCUUCUCUCAGUGCUGGUCAAAGACAGUUCUAGUGAUGUGUUCCAACAACACUGUCUUUCAUGGCUAUGGCCCCUACAAUAGGUCAUACAGUCCCAGGACCCCGUCCGUCCAGCUAGCGGUGGGGGUCCUCCAGGACCUGCUCCAGUAUUCCUCCCAGCUACCUGAGCUGGCCAGGGAGGUGGGCCUCAACUCUAUCCUGGGGAUCCUCACCUCGCUGCUAGGCCUCAAGUCUGAGUGUCACCUAGCUGCCAUUGAGGGGAUGACUGCAUGUAUGACCUAUCCCUGAGCCUGUGGCUCCCUGAGGGACAAACUGGGACAGUGCCAACCCAAAAGUACAAGAGGUAGCAUGUGAGUGUUAUGGUCAUCUGACCUGUUUGGGCAGAGUGGUGGAGAAAGGGGGGGGCGGGCACAGAGCCGAGGGAUGGACCAAUCAGCUUCACUGCCUGCUGGCCUCGGCCAAUGGCAUACUGGCACAACUCUACCAGGGCUCUGAAUCAGGUAGAGAAUGCUUUUUCUUUCAUGAAGUGUUUCAGAGUAUGAGCGCUGAUCUAGGCUCAGUAUAGCCUUAUAGAUCGUAAUGAAUAAGAUUACAUGGUCAGGGGAGACCUGAUCCUAGAUCAGCACUCCUACUCUCAGAUGCUUUCAUGAAUGAUAAAAACAUGAAAAUUGUCUUCAGGGUUUUACAACCAGAAUGAUGCUUAUCUGCUAGGGAGGUAAUGAUUCACCGGUUCAAAUGUUUAAGAUACGAGUGCACCGGUCCACGGGAGCCCAAACCAAUGCAAAUGUAGCAUGAAGCGGUCUGAAAAUCGAUUCAAACGUAACGAUUCACUGAUGUCUUACUCAUGUAAUUUUAUUUCCCCCAUUCGAAAAUACCUCUUAUCUUUUGAGACUGAAUAGUAGCCUAUCUAACUAAGCACGUAAAUGUGUGUGACAGUCAUUGAUCUCCAAGCCAGAUGUUAACUGUGUGUGCGCACAGAGCGCAGCUGCUCAUGCCAACAAGAGCUAGGCAUAACCCCUGAUUAGGGAUGCCAAUAUUUUCCUUGCCAAAACAAAGAUACUGAUAUAAAAAAAAAUUGCU